CUACGGGGUGCAGCAGUGGGGAAUAUUGGGCAAUGGGCGCAAGCCUGACCCAGCAACGCCGCGUGAGGGAAGAAGGUUUUCGGAUUGUAAACCUCUGUCCUUGGGGACGAAGAAGUGACGGUACCCAAGGAGGAAGCUCCGGCUAACUACGUGCCAGCAGCCGCGGUAAUACGGUGGGGAGCAAGCGUUGUCCGGAAUUACUGGGCGUAAAGGGUGCGUAGGCGGCAUAUUAAGUCAGGUGUGAAAUACUCGGGCUCAACCCGAGGGGUGCAUUUGAAACUGAUAAGCUUGAGUGUGAGAGAGGAAAGUGGAAUUCCUAGUGUAGCGGUGGAAUGCGUAGAUAUUAGGAGGAACACCAGUGGCGAAGGCGACUUUCUGGCUCAUAACUGACGCUGAGGCACGAAAGCGUGGGGAGCAAACAGGAUUAGAUACCCGUGUAGUC
RNAcentral lists this ribosomal RNA (442 nucleotides) under uncultured bacterium. RNAcentral describes it as "partial 16S ribosomal RNA". It matches the Rfam family "Bacterial small subunit ribosomal RNA", at positions 339 to 795 of the family's 1533-position model. The record is from RNAcentral.